Molecule: ribosomal RNA, 428 nt
Filed under: Bacillota bacterium
Lineage: Bacteria; Bacillati; Bacillota
Description: Firmicutes bacterium partial 16S ribosomal RNA
Rfam family: Bacterial small subunit ribosomal RNA
Source: RNAcentral
UAGGGAAUCUUCGGCAAUGGACGGAAGUCUGACCGAGCAACGCCGCGUGAGUGAAGAAGGUUUUCGGAUCGUAAGCUCUGUUGUUAGAGAAGAACGUUGGGAGGAGUGGAAAAUCUACCAAGUGACGGUAACUAACCAGAAAGGGACGGCUAACUACGUGCCAGCAGCCGCGGUAAUACGUAGGUCCCGAGCGUUGUCCGGAUUUAUUGGGCGUAAAGCGAGCGCAGGCGGUUCUUUAAGUAUGAAGUUAAAGGCAGUGGCUUAACCAUUGUACGCUUUGGAAACUGGAGGACUUGAGUGCAGAAGGGGAGAGUGGAAUUCCAUGUGUAGCGGUGAAAUGCGUAGAUAUAUGGAGGAACACCGGUGGCGAAAGCGGCUCUCUGGUCUGUAACUGACGCUGAGGCUCGAAAGCGUGGGGAGCAAACAGG